UUAAAAUUUUUCUUAGUGUACUGUAGUGACGGCGGAUCAUAAAGUUAAGUAGUACCCUCGAAGCAACUACCCAAGGAAUGGCAAAGUGGACUGAGGACGGUUUAAGGAGAGUGCUGGUUUCGUUUAGUGGCUCAACUGUGGAUUUAAACAGUUUUAUAUCGGCGUGCCCCGGAGUUGUAAAACGAGGAGGAGGCAAUGAGCCAAGACGUUGCUCAGCGAGAACGUAGCUCACGACUCGCGUAUUACGUCCACUGACAUAACCUAUAAUGAUGUCAGACUUCUUAUGCAGGAGGAUCAUUGCCGAUACGGUAGUCAAGAUAUUCGAAUUGGAAUUUCAGUAGCACGUGGUCCCGAUACAUAUAGAGAAAUUACACGUUCGAAAGGAUUGCUUUCCGUAUGGCGGAAAAUUAAAUGCAACUGUCGGAUCGUCACUAAUUCGGUUCGAUCGUGGUUUUCGAGGG
Cephus cinctus (wheat stem sawfly) is the source of this 461-nucleotide long non-coding RNA. RefSeq lists it as uncharacterized. The record is from RefSeq and is a predicted model, not a curated record. NCBI's taxonomy places the organism in Eukaryota, Metazoa, Arthropoda, Insecta, Hymenoptera, Cephidae. The transcript has 3 exons.